This 400-nucleotide ribosomal RNA is filed under the name Pseudopediastrum boryanum. Its description in RNAcentral is "partial small subunit ribosomal RNA". It matches the Rfam family "Eukaryotic small subunit ribosomal RNA", at positions 30 to 432 of the family's 1831-position model. Lineage: Eukaryota; Viridiplantae; Chlorophyta; Chlorophyceae; Sphaeropleales; Hydrodictyaceae. The record is from RNAcentral.
GCUUGUCUCAAAGAUUAAGCCAUGCAUGUCUAAGUAUAAACUGCUUAUACUGUGAAACUGCGAAUGGCUCAUUAAAUCAGUUAUAGUUUAUUUGAUGGUACCUUCUACUCGGAUAACCGUAGUAAUUCUAGAGCUAAUACGUGCGUAAAACCCGACUUCUGGAAGGGUCGUAUAUAUUAGAUAAAAGGCCGACCGAGCUUUGCUCGACCCGCGGUGAAUCAUGAUAUCUUCACGAAUCGCACGGCCUUGUGCCGGCGAUGUUUCAUUCAAAUUUCUGCCCUAUCAACUGUCGACUGUGAUAUAGACGCUCACAGUGGUUUUGACGGGUAACGGGGAAUCAGGGUUCGAUUCCGGAGAGGGAGCCUUAAAAACGGCUACCACAUCCAAGGAAGGCAGCAGG